This 490-nucleotide ribosomal RNA is filed under the name uncultured bacterium. RNAcentral describes it as "partial 16S ribosomal RNA". It matches the Rfam family "Bacterial small subunit ribosomal RNA", at positions 30 to 507 of the family's 1533-position model. The record is from RNAcentral.
AUUGAACGCUGGCGGCAUGCUUUACACAUGCAAGUCGGACGGCAGCACAGAGAAGCUUGCUUCUUGGGUGGCGAGUGGCGAACGGGUGAGUAACAUAUCGGAACGUACCGAGCAGUGGGGGAUAACUAAUCGAAAGAUUAGCUAAUACCGCAUAUCUUCUGAGGAAGAAAGCAGGGGACCAUUUGGCCUUGCGCUGUUUGAGCGGCCGAUAUCUGAUUAGCUAGUUGGUGGGGUAAAGGCCUACCAAAGCGACGAUCAGUAGCGGGUCUGAGAGGAUGAUCCGCCACACUGGGACUGAGACACGGCCCAGACUCCUACGGGAGGCAGCAGUGGGGAAUUUUGGACAAUGGGCGCAAGCCUGAUCCAGCCAUGCCGCGUGUCUGAAGAAGGCCUUCGGGUUGUAAAGGACUUUUGUCAGGGAAGAAAAGGGCGGGGUUAAUACCCCUGUCUGAUGACGGUACCUGAAGAAUAAGCACCGGCUAACUACGUG